This is a small nucleolar RNA of Ochotona curzoniae (black-lipped pika), 109 nucleotides long. NCBI's taxonomy places the organism in Eukaryota, Metazoa, Chordata, Mammalia, Lagomorpha, Ochotonidae. The record is from RefSeq and is a predicted model, not a curated record.
CUCCAAAGUAUCAAGUUCAGUUCAGUGUAAGUUUGCUGUUUUGUAAAGUAAAUUUUGGGACACUGAAAGAGGCUAGGAGAAAGAACUGGAUACAACAAUACCAAAAAAA